UGGGGAAUAUUGCACAAUGGGCGCAAGCCUGAUGCAGCCAUGCCGCGUGUGUGAAGAAGGCCUUCGGGUUGUAAAGCACUUUCAGCGAGGAGGAAGGUGGUGAACUUAAUACGUUCAUCAAUUGACGUUACUCGCAGAAGAAGCACCGGCUAACUCCGUGCCAGCAGCCGCGGUAAUACGGAGGGUGCAAGCGUUAAUCGGAAUUACUGGGCGUAAAGCGCACGCAGGCGGUUUGUUAAGUCAGAUGUGAAAUCCCCGGGCUCAACCUGGGAACUGCAUUUGAAACUGGCAAGCUAGAGUCUCGUAGAGGGGGGUAGAAUUCCAGGUGUAGCGGUGAAAUGCGUAGAGAUCUGGAGGAAUACCGGUGGCGAAGGCGGCCCCCCUGGACGAAGACUGACGCUCAGGUGCGAAAGCGUGGGGCAGCAAACAGGAUUAGAUA
This 439-nucleotide ribosomal RNA is filed under the name uncultured bacterium. RNAcentral's name for it is "partial 16S ribosomal RNA". It matches the Rfam family "Bacterial small subunit ribosomal RNA", at positions 355 to 784 of the family's 1533-position model. The record is from RNAcentral.